UGAAAUCUCACCAGGCCCGGACACUGGAAGGAUUGACAGAUUUAUAGCUCUUUCUUGAUUCGGUGCGUGAUGGUGCAUGGCCGUUCUUAGUUGGUGGAGUGAUUUGUCUGGUUAAUUCCGUUAACGAACGAGACCUUAACCUGCUAAAUAGUGACGCGGUUCAUCGAACCGUGGGCCACUUCUUAGAGGGACUAUCGGAUUCAAACCGAUGGAAGUGUGAGGCAAUAA
This 228-nucleotide ribosomal RNA is filed under the name uncultured eukaryote. RNAcentral's name for it is "partial 18S ribosomal RNA". It matches the Rfam family "Eukaryotic small subunit ribosomal RNA", at positions 1208 to 1456 of the family's 1831-position model. The record is from RNAcentral.